UGGGCGUUAAGUUGCAGGGUAUAGACCCGAAACCCGGUGAUCUAGCCAUGGGCAGGUUGAAGGUUGGGUAACACUAACUGGAGGACCGAACCGACUAAUGUUGAAAAAUUAGCGGAUGACCUGUGGCUGGGGGUGAAAGGCCAAUCAAACCGGGAGAUAGCUGGUUCUCCCCGAAAGCUAUUUAGGUAGCGCCUCGUGAAUUCAUCUCCGGGGGUAGAGCACUGUUUCGGCUAGGGGGCCAUCCCGGCUUACCAACCCGAUGCAAACUGCGAAUACCGGAGAAUGUUAUCACGGGAGACACACGGCGGGUGCUAACGUCCGUCGUGAAGAGGGAAACAACCCAGACCGCCAGCUAAGGUCCCAAAGUCAUGGUUAAGUGGGAAACGAUGUGGGAAGGCCCAGACAGCCAGGAUGUUGGCUUAGAAGCAGCCAUCAUUUAAAGAAAGCGUAAUAGCUCACUGGUCGAGUCGGCCUGCGCGGAAGAUGUAACGGGGCUAAACCAUGCACCGAAGCUGCGGCAGCGACACUGUGUGUUGUUGGGUAGGGGAGCGUUCUGUAAGCCUGUGAAGGUGUGUCGUGAGGCAUGCUGGAGGUAUCAGAAGUGCGAAUGCUGACAUAAGUAACGAUAAAGCGGGUGAAAAGCCCGCUCGCCGGAAGACCAAGGGUUCCUGUCCAACGUUAAUCGGGGCAGGGUGAGUCGACCCCUAAGGCGAGGCCGAAAGGCGUAGUCGAUGGGAAACGGGUUAAUAUUCCCGUACUUGGUGUUACUGCGAAGGGGGGACGGAGAAGGCUAUGUUGGCCGGGCGACGGUUGUCCCGGUUUAAGCGUGUAGGUGUGUGUUCCAGGUAAAUCCGGUUCACUUUAACACUGAGGCGUGACGACGAGGCACUACGGUGCUGAAGCAACAAAUGCCCUGCUUCCAGGAAAAGCCUCUAAGCAUCAGGUAACAUCAAAUCGUACCCCAAACCGACACAGGUGGUCAGGUAGAGAAUACCAAGGCGCUUGAGAGAACUCGGGUGAAGGAACUAGGCAAAAUGGUGCCGUAACUUCGGGAGAAGGCACGCUGACACGUAGGUGAAGUGAUUUACUCAUGGAGCUGAA
Molecule: ribosomal RNA, 1101 nt
Filed under: Salmonella enterica subsp. enterica serovar Stanley
Lineage: Bacteria; Pseudomonadati; Pseudomonadota; Gammaproteobacteria; Enterobacterales; Enterobacteriaceae
Description: partial 23S ribosomal RNA
Rfam family: Bacterial large subunit ribosomal RNA
Source: RNAcentral